GAACGCCUCUAAGCCAGAAUCCAUGCUGAAAAGCGACGAUACCGCGGAAAGGGACAUACGCGAGUAGCGAUAGGCUUCGGCCCUGGAUCAUGCAAAGCGCUCAGCGCGGAUCAUAACUCGAAACCCCUGACCACUAGAUCCAUUGUAGACGACUUUCUCGAGACCGGGGAUUGUAAGUGUGAGAGUAAGCUUGUCUUACGAUCCGCUGAGAUUCAGCCCGCGUUU
This 225-nucleotide ribosomal RNA is filed under the name Symbiodinium sp. clade D. RNAcentral describes it as "partial Eukaryotic large subunit ribosomal RNA". It matches the Rfam family "Eukaryotic large subunit ribosomal RNA", at positions 3122 to 3390 of the family's 3401-position model. The record is from RNAcentral. Lineage: Eukaryota; Dinophyceae; Suessiales; Symbiodiniaceae.